GGGGGAAAAUUAAUAAAUUAUAAAUAAUAAAAAAAUUUUUAAUAUUGGGGGAUAUUGAAGUAUUUUUUUAAAAAAAAAUAAUUUAAUUUAUAAUGAAUUAGUAUUGAGAAAGAAAUUUGAAAUAAUUGAAAAUAAAUUGAUAAUAAAGUAAUUUUUAUUUAAUGUAUCUUGUGUAUCAGAGUUUAUUAAAAAAUAUUUUUUUUAAAGAAAAAUCUCGAAUUUAAAAGAGUUAAUUAAUUAUAAAAGUUAAUGUAGAAAAAUUAUUUUUAAUAAUUAAUUUGAAAUGAAAUGUUAAUCGUUUUUAAAUAUAUCUAGUUAUUUUAGAAAAAAAUUUAAUUUAAAAUUUAAAAAAUUUUAUUUUUAAUUAUAAUUAAAAAUAAAAUUUUAAAAUUAAAUAUAUUAAGGGAUAAGCUUUAAUAUAAAAAUUUAUAAUAAAUUAAUUUAGAAAUAAAAAUUUUAAAAUUUAUAUUGUUUAAAAAUUUUAAUUUAUUAUAAAAAAUUUUAUUUUUAAUAAAAUUUAAUAAAAAAAAUUUAAAUUUAUAUAAAAUAAUAAUAAAAAUAAAAAAAAAAUUAGUAAUAAUGAUAAAAUUAGUAUAUUAUUAUAAAAUGUAAUUUAAUUAAUUAAAAAUAAAUUAAAGGAAUUCGGCAAAAUUUUAUAUUCACUUGUUUAUCAAAAACAUGUCUUUUAGAUAAUAAUUUAAAGUCUAAUCUGCCCACUGAUAAAUAUAUUAAAGGGCUGCAGUAUAUUGACUGUACAAAGGUAGCAUAAUCAUUAGUCUUUUAAUUGAAGACUUGUAUGAAAGAUUUGAUGAAAUAUAAACUGUCUCUAAUAUAAUUAUAAAAUUUAAUUUUUUAGUUAAAAAGCUAAAAUAAAUUUAAAAGACGAGAAGACCCUAUAGAGUUUUAUAUUAAAAUUAUUUAAGAUUAUAUAUAUAAAUAAAUAUUAAAAGUAAAAUUAAUAUUUUAUUGGGGUGAUAAAAAAAUUAAUAUAACUUUUUUUUAAAAAAAACAUAAAUAAGUGAUUAAUUGAUCCAUUUAUUAUGAUUAAAAGAAAAAAUUACCUUAGGGAUAACAGCGUAAUAUUUUUUUUUAGUACAAAUAAAAAAAAAAGUUUGCGACCUCGAUGUUGGAUUAAGAUAAAAUUUAAAUGCAAAAGUUUAAAAUUUUGAUCUGUUCGAUCAUUAAAAUCUUACAUGAUCUGAGUUCAAACCGGUGUGAGCCAGGUUGGUUUCUAUCUUUAAUAAAAAAAAAUAUUUUAGUACGAAAGGAUCAAGUAUUUUUAAUAAUUAAAAUUUGAUGAAUAUUAAUAAUUAAUGAUU
This 1319-nucleotide ribosomal RNA is filed under the name Athyma sulpitia (spotted sergeant). RNAcentral describes it as "16S ribosomal RNA". Lineage: Eukaryota; Metazoa; Arthropoda; Insecta; Lepidoptera; Nymphalidae. The record is from RNAcentral.